CAUUGUUUUUUCAAAGGCAACGAAGACAAACUAAAAAUUUGAGUAGCUACUUCUCACCCACCUGUUACUAAUGUACAAGCAUGAACUAUGCUUACGUAUGUAAUCCAUCUGAUGGAGAACAGCGAGUUAACCGGCAAUAAAUUCAUAAAAACAAUCAUGCUUCUGCUGAAAACUCUCAUGACCUUAGCUCCGUCAGGUACUAUAUUAAAUGCUUGUUAGGAAAGAGACCUUAAACGAAUGUCUACGUUUCAUGAUUAUUGGCCCCUGUUCUUCUUGAUUCUCCCUUCUCAUCUGAUAGAGAAAAGGAGUUCAUGCUAUAUAGGUAAGACGGUUUAAGGGCUGAAUCUGCCAUCUUUAACUCUAAUCCAAGAUUUGGACCGAAAUCUAUCAUUCAGUUUGCCAGAGCACCAUCUAAGAAUAAGGGAAGAAAUGGCAAUUCCAUCCACUUUCAUGGAAGUCUACCUCACACUCAGAGCUGCAGAGCCAGAUCUGGCUGUUGAGAAUUAACCAGAACGCCUGUUUCACUGGAGACCCUGGAGACUGGAAUCCGAUAGUCAGGAGGAAGCGCAUCCAGGUUCUGCCUGUAGACACCAUUUUUUGUAAAUUUAAUUUCUAUUCUUAUUCUCACUUUCAUUUUUAUUUUUGAUUACAUAGCUUUUAAAUUGGCCUUCAAGACCCAAAGGCCAGAAGGUUCAUAUCAGAAUAAAUAAAACAAAAUAUAUAAUAAAUAUUUUUUUCUGAAAAAAGAGAGAAAAAAUGGUGAUUUAUUGCCAUGCUUGGCAUGACAAUCGAGGCAGUUGCUGUGGUGGUCAACUAAGGUUGGACUGCCAUGGCAAUCAGCCUUAUUUCUCCUCAAGGUGAAUUGGCGUCUCUCUCUCCCAGGAUAUGUCAAAUUUAGCUAAUUUUUCUUUUUCAAAAUUUACCACUUUUCCCUUUUAUUUAGUGAAAGACUCAAGUCAAUUUUGAAAAUCAAAGAUUUAACAGCAAAUCACCACACCAAACCUAAAGACCUUACUGAUACGACCACCAAAGUGCUGCAAAUGGUAACAAGAAGAUGAGAGGGAUUUUCAAAAAUCCUUGAUAAAAGCAAAGAUAACAAAACAGAAAGGGUAGGAAUUAAAAAAAAAAAAGAGAAGAACCCUGUAAAAGAAAAACCUAAGAAGAUAAACCCUAGAUCUAGCAGCAGAGAAGCCACAAGAAACACAAAAUGUAUACA
Molecule: non-coding RNA, 1216 nt
Organism: Theobroma cacao (cacao)
Lineage: Eukaryota; Viridiplantae; Streptophyta; Magnoliopsida; Malvales; Malvaceae
Source: RefSeq, a predicted model, not a curated record